CUCUUGAGAGCGGCGGACGGGUGAGUAAUACCUAGGAAUCUGCCUGGUAGUGGGGGAUAACGUUCGGAAACGGACGCUAAUACCGCAUACGUCCUACGGGAGAAAGCAGGGGACCUUCGGGCCUUGCGCUAUCAGAUGAGCCUAGGUCGGAUUAGCUAGUUGGUGAGGUAAUGGCUCACCAAGGCUACGAUCCGUAACUGGUCUGAGAGGAUGAUCAGUCACACUGGAACUGAGACACGGUCCAGACUCCUACGGGAGGCAGCAGUGGGGAAUAUUGGACAAUGGGCGAAAGCCUGAUCCAGCCAUGCCGCGUGUGUGAAGAAGGUCUUCGGAUUGUAAAGCACUUUAAGUUGGGAGGAAGGGCAUUAACCUAAUACGUUAGUGUCUUGACGUUACCGACAGAAUAAGCACCGGCUAACUCUGUGC
RNAcentral lists this ribosomal RNA (426 nucleotides) under Pseudomonas sp. R2.h. RNAcentral's name for it is "bacterial SSU rRNA". It matches the Rfam family "Bacterial small subunit ribosomal RNA", at positions 86 to 508 of the family's 1533-position model. The record is from RNAcentral. Lineage: Bacteria; Pseudomonadati; Pseudomonadota; Gammaproteobacteria; Pseudomonadales; Pseudomonadaceae.